UCAAAAUGAAUCAUAGUACUUGUGUAGUUGCAUAGUUAUCCUAUUUCUUCACUCGUGGCUAUUGCUUACCCUCGUGUAAGCCGUAUUUGUAUGUUUCCGCUAGUGCACUUCUUGUUUGAAAAUGUACAUGUGAUGAGCCUUGGGCGGACAGGGGAAACUCUGUCCGUUCGGCGUCUGUUUGACGUGCUCGGGCCGGCCCAAAUUGGUAUCGGUCCCGGGGCGUGA
RNAcentral lists this long non-coding RNA (225 nucleotides) under Ananas comosus (pineapple). RNAcentral's name for it is "long non-coding RNA (ACOM_LNC042431)". The record is from RNAcentral. Lineage: Eukaryota; Viridiplantae; Streptophyta; Magnoliopsida; Poales; Bromeliaceae.